CUGGGAAAAGGCACUUUGCUCUCCCCAAUGAAGAACCUGUCCUUUUCUCUGCCGGUGGAGGGACGCUGAAGGAGAUGAAGGCUUUUUUGAUCGUUUUGCUGGUUGCUGUCCUGUGGGCAGGGAGAGCUUUCUCACUGCGUUGCCAUGUGUGCAGCACUAAAAAUGGCAGCUGUAGCAAUCCAACCAACUGCUCCAAAACUGAUUUCUACUGCACAACGUUGAGUAACGGCCUCAACUCCAGCAUGUAUUUCCUGGAGAAGAACUGUUCCUCCGUGUGCCCCCUUUCCACACGUCAACCUUUUCUUUCCUGCUGCCGGACUGAUCUGUGCAAUGGGGCCAAUGGCAUGAGACUUGGCUGCUUUGCCUUGGUAAUGUGCAUAUUUGCCAGCUUUUUUGGUGCCUCUGUCAGGACUGGAGUGUGAUGUGCUGAGCAGAGUGGGCUUUGCCCCAUGAAAAAUGAGCCAAGGAAGAGUUAAACCUUCUCUCUGCAUAAUGAGUCUUUUCUGCCAGAUGUUAUUUCAGAUCCCAUCACCAAAUAGCAUUUUUAUUAGGUGACUGUGACCUCUCUGUCAAGUCCCAUCCCUCUUACCAGGUCCAUAGCAUUAUCUUCUAGCUCCUUGGGACAUGGGAGACUUAUGAAACUCAACUGAACAGUCCUAUAUCUACAUGUGAAGCAACCAGGAGAGGCAGGGAUCUGUUGACUGGAGUCACGUGGAGAGAGUUACUUCAUUUACAUGGCUUAUUUUCUGGUGAACAUGAUGCAGAAAUGAAGCUUAAGAUUCACUGAUGUGUAUACCUGAAAAAUAUUCAAUUCAAAAUAAAUCUAUUUCCAGUCUGUUCCCAGGUGUGAGGCCAUUUCUGUGAUGUCUCGGCAGGGAAGUGUUGAUCCCCAGGAGCAUGUGUUAGAACAUAAGGUAGGAGAGACUGGGCCCAAACCAGAAUGACUCAUCUCCAGCCAUCCUGGUUUUAUCUAAUGCCCCCUCAGUAAGAGACUAGUGCCCAGAUUCCAGCAGUUAUGCUGCAACCACCCAUUUUGGGAAAAGAGGGUUUUUUGAGCAAAGUUUCCAUGGUGGCUUAGGAAAUCCAUCAUCUCUGGAGCUGUUGGUGAUGUAGGACAAGGUAUACAAGGCCAUAUUUUCAGAGUUGCUGAGCUUCCUAUGCUAAGCAGUAGGUGUAAAUGCAGUUCAUCAUCUCUAGAAAUUGGGAACUCUGUAUUUUCUGGCUCCAGCGGGCCUUUGUAUAUGCCACGCUUUUUGCCUUUUCUUGCACUGCAACAGCAUGACUGUUUGCACCAGCGGGUUUUCCGGAUGCUUUAAAAAUCUUUCUGACGCAUGAAAUUAAAACUCCUCAGAUCUAGUUUAGUUUGGCUUGCUGGGAAUUAAAGCAUCGUGUUCAUGGAUUCGUUAUGUGCAAACACAAAAGCACUCAAAGAUGUGUAAUGAUCCUCUUUGUCCACCAGAUGGCAUCACAAACUUUUUUGUAGUUCACACCUUCAAAUUGCUUUGGCUUUGGAAUUGCUUCUGCUUUUUUCUUCCUUGUGUGGUUUGCCAGCUCCCCACUUCCACAGCUGCAUGGCAGGGCUGGUGGGG
This is a long non-coding RNA of Alligator sinensis (Chinese alligator), 1589 nucleotides long. RefSeq lists it as uncharacterized. The record is from RefSeq and is a predicted model, not a curated record. The transcript is spliced from 3 exons. Lineage: Eukaryota; Metazoa; Chordata; Crocodylia; Alligatoridae.